AAGACAGAUCAUAAGUAUAAAAUAAAAGAAUUCAUAUAGAUUAACAUGGACUGGGAUAGUUGACCAGGGGAUUAAAUGGGUGGGAGUGUUAUAAGCAAAACAGUCAAAGGGACUGUAAAAUAGUAACUUUUAUUUCUUUAAAAAUACAUUAAAAUUUUUAUUACUACCUGUCAUGCUCAGAUACAUAUCAUAGGAUAAAAUUUCCCUAAAAUAUAAAAUGGAAUGUUAUGUCUUUAAAAGAUGGUGAUGGCUAAAGACAUCUGCUUCUGUGGCCCACUCCAGGUCAUCUGCAGGAUCUACAGGCCUUCAGGAAGGGUAGAAAGGGUUUGCAGCAACAUGGCCAGUGAGCCACAGCCUCAUGGUGACCAGAGAGCUCGCCUCCCAGCACUGUUCUCAAUGGCUUCUUCCAAAAGACUGUCAGAUGCAACAAAAACAGCACAGUGAAAAGGGAGAAGGGAGUCGGAAAGAGACAGGUUCUUGGCAUCUGCUCACAAUCCAGCCUGUAUUUCUGCCCACAGUGACUGGCCAGAGGAGCAGUGUCCAGCGAGGGGCAAGGAACCUGUGUACUCGGCACUCCACUGACCAGCGGGGGAUCUUUAAUACUCCCUCACAUUGUGUACUUUUGAUCACUUGAUGGGAGCACUUGAUGGAAGCACUCGUUGGGAGGAUGUUAAGGAUUAGAGAACAGUUCUCAGACUGAAUUGUUUUUUCAGGAAAAAAAAAGUAACAUUUACAUCGUCCUCUGGGAAACCAUGCUCCUUCCGUCUUGAAGUUUGGGAGAAACCAUGCCUGAGAGCAUGGUUGAGUAUGCAUGGUCGAGGCUUGGACAAUGAAACUGGUGACCCACCCUACACCUACUGUUAUCUCCGGGAUCAACAUACAAAAGUUGUUCUGAUCAAAAACUUUCCCCCAAUCCAAAGCAGCUACAAAUGAAAGCAGCUGUCCACAGAGGAGGAAGUUCAAAGACAAGUGGGGAGAGAGAAAGGAGGUAGGGGUCACAUGAGGAGAACAAACAAGGACAAGAAGAAGCUUGGCAGCUCUCCUUUGCACAGAAGUCUAAAGCAGAAAACAUAUUUGGGGACAGAUGGACUGACAGCAGCUAUGGACAGAGUGAUGCCUGGAGAGACUUCCAAGUAGCCCAACAACUGACUGUUAGAUUUUGACAAAGACUUAAAAGUGGACAACACUCCCAGAGCAAGAAAGACUUCUAAAUAUUUUCUUCUGAAUUUGUAAUGGUCAUUUUCUUUUGGCUCCUAGCAGUUAAUCUCUCAUGUUUCUGAAUGAAGCUUGAGAGGAAAAUUCUACUGAAAUUUGUGAAUGAAUUUCCUUUGCUUUCAUUACCUAGUGGUUAUCAAGAAAAUGCAGGCAGGGCUUUUUUGAGAUUUGACUUCAAUAACAACUAGGGGUAACUAGCAUCUAUCUUUUAACUACAAGGCUGUUUUAUUGUAUAUCUAGGGCACCUAAAAGUUAUUAUAAAAGUAUUGUAGUUAAAACUGCAACUACUAAAGUAAACUAUUAAAGAUAACUCAUUGGACACUUCAGAAUACAUUUUAAAAAUAGAACCAAAGACAAAUAAUGCUGUCUGGAACUUUUACAACUAUUUUAUACAAAUGAAUUUAAUAU
This 1623-nucleotide long non-coding RNA is filed under the name Cricetulus griseus (Chinese hamster). Its description in RNAcentral is "lncRNA (ENSCGRG00015038915.1)". Lineage: Eukaryota; Metazoa; Chordata; Mammalia; Rodentia; Cricetidae. The record is from RNAcentral.